GCAUAUUAUCUUUAUAAGUUAUGCCGCAAUCUGCUCUUUUGUAGAAUGAGGUUUGAAUUACAAACUCCAGAAUACCAGACUCUACAAACAGCCAAGGGACGACGAUCAGUCAAAGAGCAGUGAAUAUACCAGAUCACAACUAUGCCUAAAACGCUUUCUGAACUUUUUGGGAUUUGUAAAAGUCAGAUAGCAUUACUUAUUUACUUGCACAAUGAAGGAAAAGAAGUUGUAUGGAUUACUGGAGGAGAAGAUGGCACAUGUCAGAAGAAGAUUCCAGCUAGGUAAAAUGUAAAUAACCAGAUGGCAGAAUCCACCGACCUGGGAGUGUGGGAAAUGACUUUUGAUCAUUCUUCCAAUAUUCUGGGUGUGACUUAGAUCAAGAGCUGCAUCAACCUGCAAGUGAAUAACAAGAUGCUGAAAACUGUUUCAUCUUAACAACCAGAGAUCAAUACAAUAUAAUGCAACCCACAUUAAAGCUUUGCAGAGUCUACAGAUGCUACAAGUAUCCCACUAGAUUACUCCAAAAAGAAAAAAAAGUAAAACUUUGAAUGACAACUUCCACAGGUGGAGUAGCGAUGUCAAACAAAGAAACGACACAAAAAAAAAGAAGCUAAAACCCAGGUAAAUAAGAAACGAGCCGUCCAUUAAACACAUAGGAACAACAGAGCACCAAUGUUGUAGAAAUGUUUUGGUAGAGAAUCCACAGCAGAAUCUUAUAGUUUAGAAUUUCUAAACCCAAAUUGCACCCAGUUCAGUGAAAAAAGUCAAUAAACCCUAAAAGAAAAGUUAAGCAUACCUCAUCCAGUAUAUACAGAGGAGCUGGUUUGAAGAGAAGCAAUGCCAAGAUCAGAGAAAGUGCCAGCAGGGAUCGCUGACCUCCACUCAGUUCUGACAAAGACUGUUUCCAAUCACCCCCAAAUGCAACACACACCUCAAGGCCAUCUAGGAAACUACACCCUUCAGGAGGUUCAAGCUUUCCCAUUGUGCCGGGUAAAAGGGUAGAAAAGAUAGACCGUAAGUCUCUGAAGGAAGAAUUUUUUUAUCAGUUUCAGUUUGGAGUCAAAAAUAAAUAGCAUUGGAAGUAUAGAGAAGUUGCUGAAAAUCACAAAGUCAACUGAGAAUGACUCACUUGUUAACUUUGACCCAAGUAACAUUCAAUGUUUCCUUCUUUUUCUCAUCCAGCUCUUCAAUCACCAUCUUGAUCUUAGACUUGUCAUUCUAAGAAGGAAUUCUAGAAGUAAAAGAAAAGGAAAACAGCUCACAGACAGAUCAAGGUUCACCAACCUCAAUGAUGUUCUUCUUAGACAUUAGGUCAUUGUACUCGUCUUCUGCUUUCUCAAACAUUGCCAUAACUUUCUUAUUCACCCUUUUCUCAAGGCUACAAAAGGUAUAAAAAAAAAGUCAUCUCUCAGCCUCAUGGAAGGAACUAAUAACAAACUUCACAACAUAUCAAUUACGGAGGGAGCAUCUUAGUUAAACAACUCCCGUGCAGUUUAUUUUCCAUAACAACGUUAUGUAAAUUGGAUUUAAAACCAUAAGACUUCAUGAAAUUCAUAACUAAGUUUAUUUUAUGUUUGUUUUAUAUAUAAGGAUGGCGAACAUAGAAAUUCUUUUACGAAUUACAUUUAUAAUAGUAUGAGAUCCAAAAUUCGAUAGGUGAUUUAAGCAGGCCAGCCAAAUGAUUCACAAGAACCACUAUCUAACAACAAACUUCAUCAAACAAGUUGUUUCAGAUAAAGGAAGCUCAAUCAGACCAAAAAGAAAAAAAAAACUCAAUUAGAUGCCACGGACGAUAGUUCAAUUAAAUCUCAGCAAUAAUAAAACAUACCUUGAGAUCCUUUGAAGCUGACUGGAGUAGAGCUUUUGUCUCUUUGAUCUUCUUUUCCAAAUCUUUCAGCCUUCCCUCCCGACUGUUGUCGUGCUCUUUGAUUGAUUUCUCAAGAAAUGACACUUUAUUCACACAAUCUUCAUGCAAAAGUUUCUUUUCUUUGGCUGCAGUAUUAGCUUCUUGUAGCUCUUGCUCAAUCCUCUUUACUAAUUCACCAAGCUAGAUAGCAGAAUAAAAAAUUAGGAAAAAUUCCCAUCUGCCCUAAUUUUAAAAAAAAAUUUCCCGCUAAUAAAAUAAGAAUCUAAAAUUCCCACUAACCAUAACACUUCUAAUGAUUUAUUCCCUCUAACAAAAUUUUCAGCUUUUCUAUUAUUUUUAUUGACAAAACUGACCUCCCCUCCAUUCUCUCAUCUCUCUCUCUCCCCCCCUCCCCACCGUGCUUGUGCUUCGCCAGAGCCUUCUUCCCGGUGCGAAUUCACUACAACGCCGCCUCUACCGGCUCUCCCUCCAUAUCUCCUCCACCGCCACCACCUCUCAACAGCUCCUCCCUCCACUCUCCAACCAUCGCCGUCAAACAUAUCGAAAUCACCACUCUCGAAAAUCUCUGUGUGGAGAUCGUCUUCAAAGUUGAUCACCUAACGCCGGUAUGGAUCUAACGACAGUGGUGGAUCUGACGACGUCGAGAUCUGAUCGUGCUCCGAUCCGCUCCGCCGUUGUCACCGUCUCUUGCCGUAAAUCUCAGAUCCUUCCAGGCAUGGACUUCUGAUUGAAAACGCUCUUAACGAGGUGAGUAGAGAGUGAGGUGAAUUGGUUUUCAGUGCCACUUCGAUUCUGUGUUUGAGAAAAUGUGAUGGAAUUGUUAAAUCUUGUGGUUUAGUAGUAUUUUCGGCCUGAAAUGAGGGUUAGAUUUUCAAUUUUGAGUGGUGGAUUAGUGUAGAACGGAUCGGUUAUUGUUUGUAGGGAUAUUGUUUGAAGCAUGUUUAGGUUAGAUCAACCUGAAAUGGUAGAUUUUUGUGACUGGAAAUGGUUGUGACGGAGGGAUGCUCUUCAUGGAGGAGUCUGGGUGGUGGGUUCACUGCUCCAAUUUGAAGAACGACCAUUAUUUUUGGGGUUGUUGAACUUGAAGCAUUUAUGGAAGAGGGUCGUUUAUGCAUCAAAAAGAGAUCAUGGAUCUCUCACAUGGGAGUCGUAUUUGUAGUAUUUAUUGAUGGAUUUCUUAGGGAAAAUGGAGGAUUUCAUUUCAUGCAUAUAUAAUAUAUGGCACUAUGGCAGAUAACCACCAAGACACUAAGCGUGGAAUAUUGCUUUAUGGUCUUUGAGCCUUUGUCUAUGUAGACACAGACUUCUAAUUCACCAUUUGUCCUAGUAUUUUAGGGUAUAUGCAUGUAUGGUGUAACAUGCAAGUUUUGUUUUACUUUGUUUAAGACCAUAAUAGUUGAUUUUUAGUACACGACUUCAAGAAUACAUGAAUUAUUCUUUGCAUAGUUGAAUGUAUUAUAUAUUGAUUGUGAUAGUAGUUUAUAAAUUGCGAUAGAUCGACUUCCUAUUGUCUUUAUACAUGGCGAUAGACUUCCAAUUGUCUCUAGUAGACUAUGUACUACCCCCAAUAGGAGGUCCUAUUGCCCCCAAUAGGUGGUCCUAUUGCCCCCAAUAGGUGGUCCUAUUACCCCCACUAUGAGAUCCUACUGACCCUAGUAGGAGGUCAUACUGACCCAAUAGGUGGUCCUACUGCCCCCAUUAGGAGGUCUUACUGCCCCUAGUAGACCCUAGACGAACCCCCUACUGCUCCUAAUAGACCCCCGAAGAACCCCCUACUGCCCCUAAUAGACCCCCCGAUGAACCCCCUACUACCCCCAGUAGGAGGUCCUAAUGACCCCAAUAGAUGGUCCUACUGCCCCAGUAGGAGGUCCUAGUGGAGGAAUAUUAUGUUCUUUAUGUAUGUCCUAUUGUCCUUUAAUUAGGGUGUGAAGAGUCACUUGUUUUGGUGUAGAUUUGGAUAGAAGUUAUCUUCUCAGUCUUACAUCUUAUAGAAUAUUAUAGACUUCACUUCUUCCAUUUCAAAACUUUUCUUAAUACAUGUAUACCUUAUAUCUUAAGUUUAAGGAUCCUACUGCCCCCAGUAGGAAGUCAUACUGCCACUACUAACCUACUGACCCUAGUAAGAGGUCCUACUGAUCCUAGUAGGACCAGUAAGAGGUCAUAUUGCCCUAAGUAGGAUGUUGUAUUGCCCCCAAUAGGAGGUCUUACUACCCCAAUAGGUGGUCAUACUGCCCUCAGUAGGAGGUCCUAAUGACCCUAAUAGGUGGCCAUAUUGCCCCCAAUAGGGACAUAUUAUAAGUGACUAAAGCACAACGACCCCUGGAGUCCGGUCAACGGUCGUCGGAGCCCGGUCAACCACCCUCGGAACCUAGUCAAUGGUCCCCGAAGCCCGGUCAACGGUCCUCAGAGUCUGAUCAAAAAUUGUCGGAGUCCCGUCAACAUCAUUGGUCGUGGGAAUCCGGUUAUAAAAACUUUAUUUUAUAAUAGACUAUUAUAAUGGUCUAUUGUAGUUUAUUUAAUUCAUUAAGGGUAUAAUUAUCUUUUUGUUCUUAUAAUGGUCUAUUGUAGUUUAUUUAAUUCAUUAAGGGUAUAAUUAUCUUUCUGCUCUUAUAAUGGUCUAUUGUAGUUUAUUUAAUUCAUUAAGGGUAUAUUUGUCUUUCAGCUAUUUAAGUUGACUCUUGGGAAUUUUAAAAUCUGAUUUUGUUAGUGGGAAUAAAAUUCUUAAAAUUAGGGCUAGUGGACAUUGUCCAAAAAAAUUAAGAUUCAUGUCAUAAAUCCAGUAAACACAGUCCGCAGCAUAGUUCUGAACUGAAUAUGCUAAAAGAGAAAAGAAAUGUGACAAAACCUUAUGAUGCUCAUUUUGUUCAGCCCUGCCCUGAAAUAAUUUAAGGUCAUAUGAUUUGAGUUCUAACUAUUGUUUAAGCUCCAUGAACUUCUUGUGAAGAGGCUGAAUUUCUCUUAUCUGCAAAUAGAAAUACAUUAAUGAAAUUGCUAUGGAAAUGAAGUUCCCAAUGACAUAUAAAACAGCCACACUAUGAUUUUUCAAUUGCAUAUAGUGUAAUAUGGAAUUUCAGUAUCGUAUUGAGAGAAAAUAAGAUUUCAUAGGCAACCUUAGCUUCAAUCUCAGUCAACUUUUUCUGAUGCUCAGAGAGUUUUAGCUCAGCUUCAGCCAGCUCAUGACGCUGCCUUAACAGAUCACCCCCACCCCUGUGACAGGAAAUUAUUGCUUUAGAAGGAAAACUAGCUAGAUGUAUAUGUACUUUGAAUUGAUAAAUGAUAAGGACAACACAAGUACGGAAAAUUAGUCAGAGAAAUCUAACAACAGAUAUAUUCUAGACGAAGGGAGAUAAAGCAUGAAAUCUGAACUGGAGGAAAAAGAACAGUGGCAUACUUGCGGCUUCCACCAGUCAAAAGACCACUGGGCUGAAAGAUAUCACCUUCAAGAGUGACACUAGGGGUACGAACUUCCCUGUUAAAAGCAACCUAGGAAACAUUCAUAGAGAAUCAGAUUGGGUCAUGCCGCUUUCCAGUUUAGAAUACAAGUGUUUAAAAGGACAAUACUAUAUAAUCAGCCAACAGCACGAUCAAAUCCACCUCUCACCUCCUUUGCAGCAUCAAUAGUCUUGCACACAAAGGUUGAACCGAAGACAUAUUCCAUAGCACUCUGCAGUAAACAUUAAAUGGUAGGUAAAGUGAGCAAUUAUCAUAUUCCGGAGGUCUGUAAUUUGUUUAUGAUCGAAAGAUACCCUCAGGUGCUCAUCAUAGCCAACCAAAGAAAGUGCAAGUUCUGCGUUUUCUCUGCCAACCUGAUCAUAGAAAUCAAGGUUAUUAGUAUAAUAAGCCACACCAUUGGGAGGAAAGAAAAGCCUAAAACGAGGUCGGGGCAGGACAAACUAUUGGCAAAAGAAACUAACCAAUUUAGCAGCAGCAUUUUGAACCCUAGGAGGAACUGUGUGAGCUUGAAUUUUGUUCAAGGGUAUGAUUGUUACUCUUCUUCGAAGAUUGCCAUUCUGAAGAAGUUGUUUUCCAGUACUUUCUGUGUCUACGACAACAUUAAACAACUUUCCACCAGCAGUGACCUAGAAAUCGAAGGUAUGCAAGUUAAUACACAUUCUAUAAGUCAUGAGAUGAAAUCAUUUGUGAUAAAUGCAUUUUCACCUCUAAGGCAGUCAUGGUGGAGCUAUCCUUCACUUUGAUAAGUUUUGCAACUACACCCUUGACCUUAGACCUAACAAAAUUGUUCACAGGAUCUCUAUAAGAAAAGUCAACAUUUCCAAAGUGUACUGAAAGAUUACGCAUUUAAUCCUUCAACUUCUGCACACACUCCAACUCAGAUGAUCGGUCCUGAAUAGAAUAUUCAUUUAGAGAAGGAUCCAAAUUAAGAGUUAUAAACUGUCUAGAUGUAAAAAGAAUGAUCAAACAGACAGCAUGUUAACCUUUUGCAAAGCUUCCAUCUGGCCCUCCUUAUAUGGAAGAGACUCCAGUGCCAAUUUAACAUUUUCAACAUCUGUUUUCCUAGCCUUCAGCUCACUCUCUACAGCAACAGCUUCUUCACGCUUUGACAUUAGUUGAGAACUUUUCUCUUUCAACUCCUUUUCACAGUGACGAAUUUUUGUUUUCAACUGUUCCAGUUCUGUUUCAGCACUCCCUACAGCUCUUUUGGCAUCACCCAAUUGAUAUUCGAGGCAUUUAUCCUCAUUUCCACUACUCUUGCCAGCGAUUACACCCUGGAAACAUUAAUGAAUCAAAAAUCAUAGUGAUUCCAAGAGUAACUCGCACACCAUGCAAGCCUAACAUGUGACUUAGAUGAACAAGGUAUAGGCAACACAUAGAUACACUAUCUACCUGGUACUGAGUCUCAUACUCAUUCAGACUAUGAGAAAGUUCCUCCGCUCUCUUUUUCAAAUCAGCAGCUCCUUCUUCGGCAUUUCUUAUAGCACAGUCCCUAUCUUUUAGAGAUUGUUUCAUGUCUUCAAUGUUGCUAGCGAUCUGACAACAGAGAGAGGCAAAUUCUAUGUUACCAUAACCAUUUCAGACAAAGCAUGUAGCAAAUGAUUACAUAACAGACUUGAAAGAGCUUGGUGUCAUACAAAAGAAAGCAGUAAGUAAUACAAUAUAUCAAUUACCAUUCUAGCAUUAUCAUUUUCAGUAUCAAGAUUGUCCUUCAUAUUAUCCAGUAUAGACACUUCCCUCACUACAUCUUGAGAAAGCGCAUCUACUUGGUUAGACAGAUUUUUCACUUCUCCACCCAUACUAGCCUCCUUUUCAGCAGUCAACUUGGACACUUGUGUUUCCAUUUCCUUUAUUGUUGCCUGCAUCUUUCUGGUAUCAUCAUCAACCUCAGAAAUUGGCCUUCACUUGUUCCACCUCAUAAACUGCACUGUCCCUUAUCCUCUCCGCUUGAACAUAUUCAUAAGCAAUGCAAAACCUCUUGAGCCGAUCCAAGUCAGCAUUGCCAUUAGCCCAUUGCAUAUACUGUGUCCUUUCUCUCCUCAACUUGUCCAAUGCAGGCAGUAUCUCAUGGUCCAGAAGCUUAUUUAUCUCAUCAACUUUACUCUGCUUCUUCUCAAGUGUCUUAAGAGCCGCUUCCUUUUUGGUCUCAUACAUUCUCGUCCCGGCAGCCUCUUCAAGCAUAGACAAAAUCUCGGGCGGUUUCAUAUUCAAAACCUUGGUAAUUCGGCCUAGCAUAAUCAAAAAAUGUGGAUUAUUCACAUUGAGCUGCACCGAAUGAAAAAGAUUCUGGACCUGACUCGGCUGCGCAAGUUUCCCGUUGAUCAAGUACUUGUUCCUCCCACCAACCACAAUCUGAUAUAGCAACACCAACGAAUUCGUAUCACACACUCAAUAAUCAGAUUCAUUGAUAGAUUCCGGUUGCAAUCAGAAGCGUUACAACCACUCCACUAAUACAGCAACUUAUAACUAAAUUCAACCUAAGAAAUAGUGAUAAAUUAAGCAAGAAACCCUAAAUCUCAACUACUUAUCGGCUUAACUAAACUCCGGUUGCGAUUAAUCUAACUUCUCGUAACAUCACUACAAUUAAUUACUUAAAUUCAACUUCAAAACAGUAAGAAACCCCCAAAUUCAACAUCAAAAACGACAUCAAAAUCUCACAAACGACACACCUGCCGCGUGACCGUGAGUUCCGAAUGGGCCUCAUACCCGAGGGGACUGCGCGCCCGGUCCGAAUUAUCGAAGACAAUCGACACAGUGGCCUUAGUAAUUCCUGCCUGGCCUUGCUUACACACCAGCUCCUGCAGAUUGGCGGCCCUCACUUGCUGUAAGUUGGUGAUGCCCAGAACGAAGCAAAUGGAAUCGAGAAUGUUGGACUUACCCGACCCGUUUAGCCGGUUAUGGCGUUGAAAAACGGGUCGAAUCCCGGCACCACCUGAUAUUUUACUCACUUAGUCAUGUGCCGCGCACGUGACCAGCCAAAUAGGUCUAUAUAUACUCCUCUCCUUUGAGAGCUUUUGCUCAGUUUCUGGGGCGAGGAUUUGUUUCUCCUUGCAAUGAGCCGUGCACUGGAAAACACUUUAGCGUUGCUUCAAUCCAAGAUGCAAAGUGUAUUGACAACACCACCACCGGGCCGCUACCAGCAGCGACCAUUGGAGCAGUCAUCAACUCCAAUUUCUGAUCCUAAAACUCAAAUUGAGAUUGUUCACUCUCAUCUCUGGAAGGCUCGAAGCAAGCAAGUCGCUCUCAAGUCGACUGCGGUCACCGGAGGAGUGAAGAAUAGACACCGAUCUAGGCUGGGAACCUACGAGUCCCUUACGACUGACACACACCCGAAGCGCAAGGUCUCUUUUCUACGCCUUGUGGCUGAAAUAGCUCAAGAUGUCAAGGUUGAUUGGAGGUCCCAGAGCUUAGUUAUGCCUUCUCUGCUAGGCAGCACUGUGUCGACUCAAGUGAACAACACUCAUGCAUCAUUUUGUUCAGUAAGCAAUACUGGAACUCUCAGUUUCGUGAAUAAUGGUUGUGGGUGCUGUUGAUUCUGUGUUUGUUGGGUCAAUUCCUGUUGGUGUUAGUGUUAGGCAUGAUAAUCAGGGACCAAAUUCGGGUGAGAAGGUGAGAGAAUGUCAUGCACUCCACCUGUUUGAUGAAAUGCUGCAUUCAAAUGAGUUGGGUAAUGUAGGAAGGACUGUUGCAGCUCUUACGAGUAUUCGAGAUAAAAGGUGGGGGACUUGCUCACCAACCUUUAGAAUAUGCACUUGGGGUGAAUCGUGCAAAAGAGAAUGAAGGUGUUGACAUGAAGGCUAAUCAACUUGAGGAUGGCAAUGCUAUAUCGGAGAUAGGUUUUAGCUCUCAACUUAUUCAAAGCAAUGAAUCACUUAAGAUUGUUUCCAGGGCAGAGGUUCCAAUUGAUGGGAUUGUAAUUACUGGUCAAAGCCAUGUGAAUGGGAGUAUGACCACACAUGAGGCAAGGGCCAUUUGUGAAAGAUUUGGUUACAGGAUAAUUGGUGGCACCAUGAGUGAUGGAUGCUUACAGGUUAAGGCAAUCCGUCUUUUUGAGGUUGAUAAAGAAAUUGAUGAAAAUGUGGGAUUAAGUCAGCCUCGAGUGAAGGGAGAGAUCAAAAUGAAAAUGAUGUUAAACAGGAUUUGAAGAUUUUCCAGUCAAGCUAUUUUAGUGGAGGCAUUGUAGUUUUUUCGAAUAUUCAUGAGCUGGAAAAUUAUUUUCAACUGGAUGCCUACAACAGCAAGUCCUUUUUAGGUCUUACGCCCCCUUGAAAGAGUUAUUAAACAGGUGUUGUGGAAGUGUGAAGGGUGAAUGGGAUAACUUACUUGCUGGUGGUUCAUCUGUUACAUUGCUCACCAAGGAUAUAUGUAAUGUUCUGUGGGUGAGUUCUGAUGCGCUAAAGCUAAUCCAAUAUGGGUUGAAAACUGCAGUUGUUUUUGUGAUGGAUAAACCACCUGAUAUUACGAGCGAAUUCUAAAAGGGUACUGGAGUUAAUAUUGGAGAAGUGGAAAUCAAGAGGUACUGUCGAAACAAUUAUUGGCUUGCAGUGUUGCUGUUGUGAGGCAGAGGAGAUUCUACUCUUUUGCAGGGAAGUGUUCAACGUAAUUGGUGAAAUGACUCAAACCACCUCAUUGUCCCAGGUAUCCGCUAUAAAUUUUCAAGAUGAUAGAAGAGAUUUUGUGAGUUUCUUGUGUGACAUGAUUAAGCUCUAUGUCGUGAUCUUUAGUGCUUUUAUUGAUAAUGCUGGAAGUUUGCUUCAUGCUGAUAUAUUCGAGAUAAAUGGAUCUAUUGCUAGCUCUCUUGUUGAUAUGUAUGCCCACUGUGGAGUAGAUAUAGAAGAGACUGUUUUUCACUUGAUGAUAUCCAGGGGUUUAGGGAAUAUGGGUCAGAUUAUUAGUUCAGUGGCUGACUCCUCAAAUAAGAACUCAUUUUCUGUUGAGGUUGUUGGGGUUUUUGCUUGGGAUGGUGAUCCAGGGUCUUCACACAUCAAAAGGGCCAAGGCUGAGAUGUCAACUAUUUGUGUUUUGGACUAUGAGAAUGGGUUUAGUGCAACAGAAGUGCCCCAGUUUGGCGGAAUUGAUUUUGGCCAAGGGUUUUCAAGUGAUGAAAUGCAUAAGUCUGGAUUCAUGUUAUAUGGGUUGGGGUCAAUGAAGAAUUUUGCUACUCCACAUGAAGUUAUUGCUGUCUCUUGGAAUGUUAAUUUGCUGGCAGCAUAUGUCAAGUCUGGAUGUAUAUAGUGGCCAUCAAUUGGGGCUGAUAACACAUAUGUCAUCUCAUUCUCAAAUGUGACUUCAUGGAAUCACAUAUUCUGUUGCUAUUUCCAGAAUGAGAUCAACAUGGAGGUAAAACAUAUAAUUAAUAGCAUACAAGAAGUUGUUGUUUGCUGGAACUAUAUGAUAGCAGGGAAUUCACUCAAUAUCAACAUGAGGUGAUUACCAUGCAAAUUUCCUAUGCUACUAUACUGCUGAGUUGCUGUGCAAAGCUUGCUUAUUCAUCUCCAGGGAAACAUGUUCAUGUCUGGUUACAUUUAACAAAAUUUGGAUAUGUGAAUGAUGCAUGCCUUAGUUGAGUUUCAUGAUCAAAUGUCCCCACGAUACAAGUCAAAGAUAAUGAAGUAUCUCAGAGAGCAUCUGAAAUCAUCAAGUGAGCUCUUACUUUCUCCUCGUGUGAUUCAACUCUCUUUGGUGGAAUCUACUUAUCAAAGUAAAUUGGUGAUGACUUUAUCCACUAGUUUAUUGGAUGAGCUUUACAACACAGGAAUUGGAUUCAGCCAUAGUGCAACAUCCAUGCUAGCAAUUGGAAAUGGUUCUAUGCUUGUGCUAUUGCAACUGGUUUGGUUGAUGUUAGAAAAACUUUUCAAGUGUGAGCACAAGGAAAAUGUAUUUACCAGUUUCGAGCUACUGUUGACUAACCAAUUUAUCAUAAAGGCUCUUGGGUUCCAGCAAAAGCUCUUUAUUCUUAUUGGUCUACUAGUGACAGAGAGUUUACCUUAUGAUCUAAUCGUGAUAUGGGGUGAUGAAUGGUUUUUGUCAGGAAAACACUAUUGUUUUCUUGGAUAUGUGAAUGAGGUGAACAACUGUUCAUUCAGGUUGCUUGACAAGCUCAAGGCUGAGCGUAAGUGUAAUAAAACCAUUGAUAUCACGCUGUGGAAUUUUGAGACCACCAAGUACUACACUGACUUGUUGCUCCCAGACAUCCUGAUUUCAUCAAGGACAUGAUUACUAGUACUUCCAAGGCUGAUAAUGCUAUCCUCAUCAUUGACUCCACCACUGGGGGUUUGGAAGCUGAUAUCUCGAAGGAUGGGUUAGCCUGCGAGUACACUCUGUUCACUUUCACUCUUGGUGACAAGCAGAUGAUCUAUUGCUGCAACAAGACUUCAUGGGAUGCCAUACUCUCUUGCAGGUGGUUAUUUGAGCUCCAAUUAUCCAGCAGGGUACUUCUCUUAUGCUCAUAUGAUUCUUUCCAAAUACACAUCAUGGAACCGUUGCUGCAACAUGCUUCAGUUUUUUCCUGAUAACUUGUGGGGCGGUAUUUGAAGAUCUAUAUUUUUGGGUGCUGUGUAGUCUAGACUAUAGUUGGUUAAAUUGCAAUGUCUCUUUGAUAAUUGAAACUUGAGGUCAAGUUUGUUAAAGGGGUAUGGAUUGUCAUGAUAUUUUACUCAUUUAGUCAUGUUAUGAUGUUUUUGGGUGCUGUUUAGUCUAGACUAUAGUUGGUUAAAUUGCAAUGUCUCCUUGAUAAUUGAAACUUGAGGUCAAGUUUGAGAGCUUUUGUUCACUGUCAAUGAAAAUAUCAGCAUUUUAAUUUCUUUCAUUUCUGCAUUUCUUUGCUUUUCUCUCUAGUUAGGGCUAAUACCCUAACACCACCAUCCGCGUCGCGUAGGACUUGAAUCCUUCCAAGGUCACCUCCUUGAUGUACAUAGCUGCGCUCACCGGAGAGAUGCGGGCGCUAAUCGGUGGCCGAUUUUGGAGAGAUUUAGGGUCGGUGGUUGGAUCGAAACCCUAGAAAUUUGAGCUUCUGGUUUUUGGUUUUGGGAACUUGAAAGUCUAAAAUGAAAUGGUUCGAAUUUCUUUUUGUUGUUUUCCGCUUUUUUGGGUGGGUUCGAAUUUUUAACCCUAGACAAAGGCGGGAAAAGACAGAUAUAUUUGGGCUUUAUCUAACAGUGUAUGAGCUUUAAACUCAUGAACGAUGUUGUUUUGUAACGCAGGAUUUCGAUUUUAAAUUCGCAGUUUUCCCAGUUUGAAAACUCAUUAAAAACGAUCGGGUGAAGAUUUUUCAAGUUCGUCUUAAAGAUCAUGAUUUACCGAUAUAAAGAAUUUGGUGAACAUGUAAGAAUAUGAGAUUUUUGUCAAAAAAAAAACGUGUGCUACAAUCCACAAUACAAUUUCAUAUGGAUAUCAUGAUUUCGAACAAUUUCUUGUUUUCUUAGAAAAAUCUCUGCAGUUGGUUCCUAUUGUAAAACUGGUGUUUAACUGAAGCAAUUUCUACGAUAUAGAAGAGUCAAAACUUCUUUUUCUUAGACAGACUGGUUCAGUACAACAUGGUACACUCGGCAUUGUACAUGUUUCUAUAGUCUGUAUGUAUGAAUAUCUACUCACCUCAGUUUCUCUUUUACAACACUAAAUGACUGCAUAUUUCUCUACAUACACAAGAAUCAAUAAUGCCAUUUUGGUCUUUCUUCCUCUUCCUUUUCGGUCAACUCCCGGUACUGAUACCACACUGCUCCAGACUUACCCACUGGGAUUGGAGACCUAACAAAUAUUUCGACUAGCUUGGGAACAUGCACAGCUAAAUGCAGUUCCCUGCAGUUUUUUCUGCAUUUGAAUCAGAACUUCUUAAUAAUCUGCAAAUAGGUUCAAUACUAGUCCAACCUAAGCCUGAUAUAGCCGCAUCACAUGCUGGCCUGCAUACAAGGAAAAGAGAAGAAUUCUCAUAUUGAUUAACUAACUAACUUUAUGGAAAUAUCAGAAUUGCGAUACUCAUAUGGAUGAUUUACCUUUGCACAUCUUCAACUUUUAUUUGCAAUUGACGCUGAGAGUCGAGACCUCUCCAUUCAUCUGCUCUUUCUUUCCCAGUUGGAGGUGUCAGUAAGACUCCAACGUGUUUCUGCAACAUGGUAAAAGGCACAUUACAAUCACACCAAUCAAUUUAAAGAGAAAAAUAUCACGCACACCUUUAAGGCCGGAAUGGUAUCACAUUUUCGUAGUGUCAGUAACAUAAAAGGGUUCACUUUAAUUGCUUUCAAAAUAUUUUAAAUGCUUCAUAAGUCAGCUGUACUUGGGAAAUAAGAAACUAUGAAUCUCAAGUGGGACCUUGAUUACCUGGUAAAAUUCAUCAGCCUCAUCAGUUGGUACCAUAUGAAUCUGAAGACUCUUUGGCCCAUAAAAUGUUAAACAUGUCUCAGGGAGAACCUGAAAUUACCAAUAUUUGAUUACUCAGGAAACACCGUAUAUGCAUCAGCCAGAUAAAGAUCGUACCUGAAGCUACAAGGCCAAACCAAACCUUUAAGACAUCUACUCUGAGAAGACCUCCCCAGAAUAUUAAAUAGCCAUUCAAAUCAUUGGAAUUGCCUUGCCUUGUUGUUCCACUUCCAGAAACCUGAGAAUUCUGGAGGGAUAAGAAACAGUCAACAACUCAAAGAUACCAAAGGAAAAAACAAGAGAAAGAAAAACAAUUAACUUACAGGCAAAGAUUGACCCCUAAGCCGACUUUGAGGAGCAAGGGAAGGUAGGUCUUCUGAAUGAACCACAGCGGCUUGCCUAUGAUGGAGAUGAACUCCAGGUGUGUCGUAUAAUUUCUGCAGAUAACAGAAUGUUACUGUACUAAACUCUGAAAGGCAAUGGUAAUAUACAGAUGCUAUAGCAUACCCCUCCUCCUAGGAAAGCGUUGAGUUGAAUUGAACCCAGGGUCGUUCCAGGGACAGCAGACUGUAUUGGUUUGUACUUUUGCGCUGAUGCAGCAACUGGAUCCUUUUCCGCCAUCAGUUCUGGUAUAAUGGUAAUACAGUAUUAACAAAAGUCAGUUCAAAAGAAGAAUAACUCGUUUAGAAAAAUAAAUCCCGACAUUUAUCUUUGUGAACAGAAUUGCUAUGAACUUCAUAGCAACCAAAGGCAACAAAACAUAUCAGAUGUCAACUAAUGAACUUACUCAGUUAAGCACCGAUAAAAGCUGAUUUCCCAACAUUUGUGGAGCCCUGUAGCAAAAGGUAAGCUAAACUAUCAGAUGCAAAAGCAUUUUUUAUAGGUCAAUCCAAGUAUGCACCAGCUAGAGGAUAAUCGAUACAGAAGGCAAAGCAAGAUAUGACAACUCUUUUGUUUUACUUCCUUUUACAAGCAUACUCAAAUAGAAAUCAGCAACAUGACUUGACUGGGCAUGAAAGAUUUUCAUGGAUAAAAUACCAGUAAAAAAGCAUGUGCUGAUUCAAAAUCUUAUUGAAGUUCCAUACAGUCAACAGGUUAAAAUCUCAAAUGUGAUUGAGAAUCAAAUCAAAUUCAUAGCAGUUCACAAGAAACCACACACUCCAAGAGCAAGGAUAAGUAAAAAAAAUUCAGGUUCUGAGAAGUGUUAAAUUCACUUGACAAAACCAAAUACUCAGCACUAAGUAAGUAAACUUCCAGAGUUCCCAUCAAGAAGCUCACCAUAACAUACACGUCCCGCCCCUGCACCAAAAAAUAACCAAAGAACUCAGUUUGAAGUUCCUGUAAAUGAUAGAUAUUCAUACUUAUUUCAUUCAACAGGAAGUACAAAUUUACAAUGUAUAAACCUAUUUCCUCUGUUGGCUAUAAUUAAAUAACUUAUAUCAAUGGCUUUAGUCAGAUCAAUGAAUUUCACACAUGAAGAUGCACAUACACUGAGAAGUAAAUACUUUUUUUUCCAUUUGAAUCUCUGAUGCAACUCCAGCUACUCCAACCAAAGACUUUGAACUCAUCAGAUGAAUGCUCAUAACACUGCAAAUAAGCCUCAAGGACACUCUUUUAAAAAGACACCAUAUAAAAUAAGUAAAAGCAAAGGCUAAGGAAACAAAUCUUACUUAAGCUUCUUCUUUACAGUGGCCUCUACAACCCCAUCACCAAUGCAAUUAAAAUCAGUCCCCUUGGGAAGUAAAUCAAUCUGUCAUUCGAAAAGUGCAAUUAGAAAGCUGCGUGCAUCAAUGUCAUGUUACAUAAGUUACAUAAGUACAAAUGAGAAGCUUAAUACCUUAGUAAUGACUAAUAUUAUGGGAUUUGCACCGGCCAGAUCACGCAUACCUUAGUAAUGAUAAUGCUAUACACAUAAACUGAUAUCAAUGGCUUAAACAAUGAACUGGACACAAGCAUACACAUAACUAACAAGUGCAUACCUUCUUUUCCUUUUGAAUCUCUGAUGCAACUCCAGCUAGCUACUCCAACCGAGGACUUUGAACUCAUCAGAUGAACGCUUAUAACACUGCAAACAAGCACCAAGGGAAACUCAUUUGGAUGGAUAAUAUAUAAAUAAGUACAAGCAAAGGCCAACGAAACUAAUCUUACUUAAGCUUCUUCUUUACAGCGGCCUCCAGUCCACCGCAACUCAAUCACCAAUACAAAUUAAAUCAGUCCCCCAACCUGUCAUUAGAAAGUCCAAUUAGAAAACUGCAUGAAUCAAUGCCACAUUACAUAAGUACCAAUGAGCUGCUUAAUACCUUAGUAAUCACUAAUAUUAUCAGAUUCGCACCAGCCAAAAAGCUACCAUUGAAGUCCACAAUAUCAAGUUAUCAACCAACAUAACCAUCUGCCUAGUUCAAAAUUUAGUCAGUAGAUUAAGAAAUGAAUUCGGUGUUGAUAGGUAACUAAAUUUAAAACAGAGGAAAGUUUGACAAGCUUCAAUAUGUUCCUUCACUUUUCAAACAUAUUUGAUAAUAUUAUCAUCAGUGCGGAUGUUGUCUGAAAUUACAACUAUUUACCUGUAAAGGACUCUAUAACCCAUACACGAGCUGCCCAUCAAUAUGUAGAGGACAGUCCCAAAUAAAAAUUUCAAGUCGCUCAAGUGAAAGAGGCAGGCCUUCCUCCACUGGAAGAUUUGCAAGCUUGGGACAGCCGGAGAUGUAAAGAUGUUCAAGAGAGGUGAGGAGUUGAAAGCCUUUGAUUUGAAAGCUUUUGUGGAGGAAAAGGAUGUGAUCAACAGUUUUGAGCAUUAGGAGACCUGUAGAUGGAAGAAAUAAAACGUUAGAUGUGGAAAACAGAGGAAAGUUUGACAAGCUUCAACAUGUUCCCUCGCUUUUCUACAUGUAUUUGAUAACAUUAUCAUCAGUGCGGAUGUUGUCUCAAAUUACAAGUGCGUACCUGGAAACCACUCCAUCGAGGAGUGUUGGUUUUCUCUUAUAUGAGUUCCAGAUUAAUUCGUACUUCAGGGAUGUGUGCUAUCUUGUGCCGGUAUCGUCCUUUGUAUCUCUGUUCAAGUAGAGGACAGUUGUAAAUAUCAAGUCGCACAAGUGAAAGAGGCAGGCCUUCCUCCACUGGAAGGGUUGUAAGCUUCGGACAGUUCCAGAUCCAAAGACGUUCAAGAGAGGUGAGGAAUUGAAAGCCCUUGCUCAGUUUCUUUAGAUUUGGGAAGUCUACAAUACUCAAAUCAACAAGAGAUCUGGGGAGCAGUAUCUCCGUCUCCUUUGAAUUCUCAGCCGCAGGUGGAAAUGACACCAGACCUCCAUCAUCUUCACCCCAUAGAUACAAUUCUCUCAAAGAGGCGAGUCUCUGCAACCCUUGAAACUCCAUCAGCGCCUUACAAUUCUUGAUCUUGUCAAUUGACAGUGAUGUUAGGUUGGUGGGGAAGGAAGUUGUAGUUGUCAAACCUUCAAAGUAAUCAAUUCUCAGAUCUUCAAGAUUACUGGUGUGCAUCAUGUCUCUCGCCAACUGUGCCACCUCCAAUUUAUCGCAAUUUCUGAUCCCUAUCAUUCUCGGCCACACAUUCAUUCUCGGCAACGAAACAAGACUUUGACAAUCAUAAACAAUUAAUGACUGAAGAUUGGUGAGGUGGCACAGUCCCUCGGGUAAGGAUUUCAGGUUUGGGCAGUUCUCGAUGUCAAUUUCUUCGAGUUGGCAGCUGUCAUCGAGGAACCUCUCAGUUAUUAACUCCAGCUGUCCACACCGCAGUAUCACAAGUUGUUUAAGAGACCCGGGUAAUUGACCUUUGCAUAAUAAGCACAUCGAAGAGGGACAAUUCCUUAUCCACAAACUCUCAAGACAAGAAGAAGAAGAACCGUUACCCACCUCCUCCUCUUUCUCUAUUAAUGACUUCAAAUUCCCACAAUUCCAGAUAUCUAUUCUUUUUAGGCUGGGAGGAAUCUGGUAUUUUGCAAAGUGCAACAGAGAUUCGCAGUCCUGAAUCACUAUGUCUUGGAGACAAGGUGGCAGACCAACAUCCGGAAAAGAAACAAGACUUGAACAUUCACUUAUGUGCAGCUCUUGAAGACAAGGUGGCAGACCAACAUCCGGAAAAGAAACAAGACUUGAACAUCCACUUAUGUGCAGCUCUUGAAGUGAUCUAAGGUGAUGCAAUCCUUCUGGUACCUUCACAAGGCUUCCACACUUGCUUAAUUCCAGACGUUCAAUAUUGCAAUCCAGGAUUUGCAAUUGCAACAACUGCUCUGCUUCAAUCCCUAGCUUUUCAACAAGGAUCGAGUUGUCUUCGAUAUACAGACGACUAAGAGAAAUCAAGUGUUGCAGUAAUCUAUCCUCGUUUUGAAAGCAACAUGUAAGCUCCUCACAACGAGUGAUCUUCAACUCUUUAACAUUUUUCAAGCUUUUCAUGAACGACUCUGUUUGGAAUCUCAAUUCUGAUACAUUUGAAUAUGUCAAACUCUCUAGUAACUCAAACUGAACUGUACUUGUGUCGUACACCACCAUCUUGCACUUUUCAAUGUUUGAUCCAUGAAGCUGUUUGUAUUUAGAUACUGAAACCACCAAUUCCUCACAUCCAUAUAUCUCAAGCUGUGCUAAUGAAUCAAGCUUCUCUGGUAAAUCACCCUCCAAUUUGGGGCAGCCCCUGAUGGAAAGCUUUUUCAGGCAAGAGAAAACUUCAACACCCUCACUUUGUUGGCAAGGAUACCACUUCUUCCAAUUUUUCAGAUUAUGUAACUCCAGGGUCUCUAAAGCUCGAAACGACAAUUUACCUUCUCCAUAAAACUCAACACCAACACUCUCCACUGCAUCCAUUUCUUGUAUACAAAGUUCUUUGAGACAAGGCAACUGUCCGAAUGGUGGCAACAAUUGACAAUGAUUACAACCUUCUAACUUUACCCGCACCAUUUUUGUGAAUGAAGGAUUCCCAAUCCAUGUUGAAAAUUUCGAUCCACCAUAAUCUUUGAUGGUGAGCUUUUUGAGCUUGCUAUGAGGCUGUAACAUGUCAAGCACAAUUGCUGCAUCUUCUGUUGAGACACUCGAAGAAGACCAUUCAAGAAAUAGGGCUUCAAGCCUUUCCUUGCUCUUUAAGCAGUUGGCACUCCUGGCAUCCUCGACACAAAUCACAUUUUCUAGUCUUGAGAUGUGCAAUGUCCCUUGCAGAUGCAAUAAUGACUCGAUCUCUCUUACUCCUGAUCCACUACCUUUGCCAAUAACAAACUCAGGCAAUGUUUGGAGGUUAGUCAAUUGACCAAGCUGAGGAGGCAUUUCUUCCAAUGACCGUGUACCUGAAUUGUUGAGAUGACGCAAAUUAACUAGGUUCCUCAUGCUUGUGGGCAGUGCCUUCAACUGGUGACAACUUUCCAAUAACAAUGUCUGCAAGUUGUACAGAGUUGUUGUCGAGUCUGGCAAACUUCUUAUCCCAGUGUGGGAGAGAUCAAGAUACCGUAGAUGCUUCAAUUCACCAAUUGUAUCUGGCAACUCGAUUAUUUGAUAACUUUUCAAAGAGAGGAGUCGUAAGUAUUGGAGUUUGGGAAAUAAAUUAGAAGUAACCUUCUGAGCCAGAUAAUGAGAAUCUGGAAGUGACCCAAGUGAAAGUGGUAAGAAUGUCCGCAAACAUAUAGCUUCAGAAUAGACCUCGAACUUCUUAACCCCGUCACACACUCCAAGAAUGUAAGAUGAAUGACGAAUCUUGGGCAAACAUGAAUGUUGCUGCGAGUCAUAAUUCUGCAUGUCCUCCAAUCUACAACAUGAACUUCCUGCAGCCCAACGAGCCAAAUCAGUAACCAGGUCAUGCAUUAUGUAUCGCGACUCUGUUUUGCUUGAUUUUUGAAAUAAUGACCUGGACACCAACUCUUGAAAAUAGUCACGUCCCAAAUCUUCCAUUUGCUUAUGUUCUUUGGGUUGCUGCGGAAUCAAACCUUCUGCCAUCCACCAAAGGAUCAAUUGCAUCUCCUUAAAUUCAUAAUCAUUUGGAAGUAUUGCACAGUAGGAGAAACACCGUUUCAAAGUCGAAGGGAGAUAAUGAUAGCUCAGUUUUAAUGCUGGAAGGAUAUCCAUCUUGUUCUGGUCUGAUAGAGUCCACAUCUUGUGGUCUAAUAUGUCUUCCCAUUCGUCUACUUCUUUACAACGUAAAAGCCCACCAAGAGUCCUUGCAGCUAACGGUAGCCCGUUGCAUUUUUCUACAAUUUUUCCUUUAAGGAACUCAACAUCUUCAGGUCUGUUAUUUAAGAGAGCAUGGUGCUGAAAGAGUCUCCAACAAUCAUCUUCUGACAUCGGCUUCAAGUUAUAAGGGCUCCUAUCUCCCAUCAUAUUUGCGACAUUGGCGUCACGUGUUGUCACGAUGAUCUUACUUCCAGCUGCUCCAACACGAAAGGAGGCCUGCAGUGUAGUCCAAUGACCAUAGCUACAAGUGUCCCAGACAUCAUCAAGAACAAUUAAAAACUUCUUGCCAGCCAAUUCCUUACUUAACUUCUCCAGAAUUGAGUUAAGCUCCUUGACCUGAACUGGAGCUGACGUGACUGAUUCCAAAACGGCUGCUGCCACCCUUACAAUGUCAAAGUCGUCUGACACAGAUACCCAUCCUUUUGGGGAAAACUGGCCAGUUGCAGCAUCGUUGAAUACAUGUUUAGCAAGUGUUGUCUUUCCUAGUCCUCCAGUACCGACAAUACCAACCACAUGAUACUUCUCUUCUUUUGAAAGCAAAUCAUAGAGAAUCUUAUCGUUUGCUUCAUCCCUUCCGAUCACAGGUCCAUCAGGUUGAGAAGUAGUGAGUGGCAUUUUCCAUGGCUUUUUAGUGGGUCUAUCAAGUUCCUUCAAACCAAACUGCUUCUUUCGAGUAGUUAUCUCCUCAAGUCGAUCACUUAUCUUCUUGAUUGCUGAGUUCAGAUCAAAAUUGGACUUAACUUUAGAGAGUGAGCUCCAUAACUUGCUUUUGCUUCCUUGUUGUCUUUCUAUCCUCCGCUUCAGCAUUUUAGUAUCAAAUAUGUCCAAUACAUCUUGAACAUCGUAAGCCAAAUCUCUGAGAUCAUCUAGCCACAGUUUCACUCGACUUUGUGUUAGUUGCUUCUCCUCAGCAUCACUCAGCACCGCUUCAACGGCCGUCAACGUUCUAGUCCAUUUCUCCAGCACCUUUUUGUCGACCCCCUUAAGGCGUCCGAAGUACUCAGUGAUCUCUUGAUCCGCCAACUUCUUAAGCAGCACCGGGAGGAAUGCACCAAGAACAGCCUCCCCCAUCGUUUCUUUUUUGUACAAUCGAUGGUAUUCAAAACUGCAGAAAGUGAAGCUAGUAGUUAAUCAAGGUACAAUUCUAGUUGAUGCAUGCAUGCUAGAAAAUAAUUUAAACAAUGAAAUGGGUGUUUAAAUUUGAUUUGUUUCCCUUAAUUUGCAAGAUCGGAAACAUGCACUUACAUGAAAAGUUGAUUAUUUCUUCUGUGAGCUCACAACUAAAACACUUGCAACGUUAAUUCUUCCACAAGGUGAUCGGCCAAGUCUCUUAGAUCAUGAUCAUGACAGACUUUCUUGUUGCAGAUCGAUCUGAUUCCAGCUAUACUGCACAAAUGAGUAAGUGGAUCCAGUUCAUAAUGAUAAUCCAACAUGAAUAUAACUGCAGAAUGAAAUUAGUAACGGAUUCAAGAAGAGCUUACAUGGAUCAAAGGAUAUCUGAAUCCAAAAUCAAGAAGCCCUUUCUUCUUUAGAGAUGAAUAAUGCAUACAGUGCAGUGUGUAUAGAUCAAGUAUGAAUGGAUAGAAGCUCCUUUGGCAAAAAGUCAACGAUAUGAAAGCCACUCGCACUUUCCUAAAAGUCGAUGAAACAAAGGAGAGCCACUACCCAACAGGAACGACGAGAAAAGGCAAUGGAACACAAAGGUUUCACCCUGCCGACACCGAAAUUACCAUUUAACACCUGCUGUAUGUGCAUCUAAUGUUUUCAUCUGUUUUUUUGUUCUACUGGAUAGUUUUAGAACAGUGGGCAAAACUGACGACGACUAUGUUUUGUGAGAAUAAUUACGCUUUUGGUCCAUUACAAGCGAGGCUAGGCAUAUGGCUACUGUCGUUUUAGUGAAAAGAUUACGCUCUGGCUUUCAAAUAAUCCACGAUUGUUUCAGUGAAAAGUCAUGAUUUUGGAUGGACCAAAAGAUUACAUAACUCACAGUCAGUGAGACUAAUAUUGCUAUGUUUAGUGAGACUAAUAUUGCUUACGGUACCAAAUGUUUAGUAAAUGAUUUUUGCAAGGUGUUCCAAUUGAUCAACGAAGAUGCGUUUUUGGCAAUAAAACGUAUUUGGACCAUCGUUUUUUGGUGAAUUUGAAUAUUUAUUGGAUAGUCUUCACAGAGAUGGGCUCAUGGGCAAUAUCAUUCAAAUUCGACAAUUAUUCGAAAAUUUGGCGUACAAAUUCGACAAUUAUCAUUCAAAUUCGACGCUCUACAAUAUAUGCAGGUUGAGCACAGAGCUCAAAACAGGCACAACAUUGGAAUGCCACCACCAUGGAACUACUCAAGAGUUGAGAGAGUUUUACAUAUACAUUUGUACCUAAAUGAGAGCUGGAGAUUGGUUGCAUAACCAACUAGCACAUGUAGCGGACAAACAAGAAGUUUCUCAUACAUACGUUGAAGAUAGAUAAGCCCUCACAUGAAAGGAUCAUUCACCAUGGUAAAGUAAAACAUCUGAACCAAAAGAGAAAAGUUUGACAAAUCAGAACAAGUUAUACUUGAUAUGAUAGCAAAGAAGCAACUUGUGUUCAACGCAAAGCUACAAUUGAAAUGAGCAUGGAAACAUGGAAAGAAAACAGUAGAAAGGGCCAUUUAGUAAAGGGAUUCGAGAUGUACCAGCAUCACUUGUUUUGUUUAGCAACGGUCCUUUGAACAGUUGAAACUCCAUCCACAAACUUUGUCCGGAAAAGGACAUUAGCAUUAUUGAACAUGCCUUCUUUCAGUGAAACCACAAUGAACUGAAAAAAAUGUGACAAACAAGAAAAAUGGGUAAGUAGACGUCGCAUAUUAUCUUUAUAAGUUAUGCCGCAAUCUCCUUUGUAGAAUGAGGUUUGAAUUACAAACUCCAGAAUACCAGACUCUACAAACAGCCAAGGGACGAUGAUCAGUCAAAGAGCAGUGGAUAUGCCAGAUAACAACUAUGCCUAAAACAUUUUCUGAACUUUUUGAGAUUUGUAAAAGUCAGAUAGUAUUACUUAUUUACUUGCACA
This 22870-nucleotide long non-coding RNA is filed under the name Fragaria vesca (wild strawberry). RNAcentral's name for it is "long non-coding RNA (FVES_LNC003862)". The record is from RNAcentral. Lineage: Eukaryota; Viridiplantae; Streptophyta; Magnoliopsida; Rosales; Rosaceae.